Molecule: ribosomal RNA, 229 nt
Filed under: uncultured bacterium
Lineage: Bacteria
Description: partial 16S ribosomal RNA
Rfam family: Bacterial small subunit ribosomal RNA
Source: RNAcentral
UCCGUAGGCGGGCGUCUAAGUCAGUGGUGAAAUCUUACAGCUCAACUGUAAAAUUGCCAUUGAUACUGGAUGUCUUGAAUUAGUGUGAAGUGGUUAGAAUGUGUAGUGUAGCGGUGAAAUGCAUAGAUAUUACACAGAAUACCAAUUGCGAAGGCAGAUCACUAACACUAUAUUGACGCUGAGGGACGAAAGCGUGGGGAGUGAACAGGAUUAGAUACCCUGGUAGUCC